CUGGGUCAGCAAUUUUCUUUCUCUUAAGUGAAUUUCUGCAAAUCCCAUCCAUGGCAUCCUGAUCUCUGAUGAUGAUUUCAGAAUCUUGCAGAUUCUGUUCUAGAUCUGUCUUAGUUGCAUGUUUGGCAUGAACUUCAGAAUCUCCUAUUCCUUGGUCAUAUAAAAGCCAACUAGGUGCUACAGCCAACCAAAAGCUGAAGCCACAUGAAAGCCAUUUGUUGAAAUCAAUAGUUAAGUUUACCCUAAAACGUCUUGUUGCACCACCAACCAUCCAUGAUGUGAGUUCCUAGGAACCUUAUAUUCCACCAAAAAAACAGAAAAUGCUAUUCAUUUAACAGAAGUCAAGAUCAAAGGUAAUUGGAGCAAGAACCAGGAACAAAAGACAGAUCAUCAAAUAACUAGUAGUAUACAUUUGCUAUCUCAAGUCAAGG
RNAcentral lists this long non-coding RNA (431 nucleotides) under Elaeis guineensis (African oil palm). RNAcentral's name for it is "long non-coding RNA (EGUI_LNC028812)". The record is from RNAcentral. Lineage: Eukaryota; Viridiplantae; Streptophyta; Magnoliopsida; Arecales; Arecaceae.